AGAGUUUGAUCAUGGCUCAGGAUGAACGCUAGCGGGAGGCCUAACACAUGCAAGUCGAGGGGUAACAUUUCCUUCGGGAAGAUGACGACCGGCGGACGGGUGAGUAACGCGUAUGCAACCUGCCUUUAACAGGGGGAUAGCCCAGGGAAACUUGGAUUAAUACCCCAUAUAAUUAGAGAUUCGCAUGGAUUUUUAAUAAAAGCGAUAGUGGUUAAAGAUGGGCAUGCGUGACAUUAGUUAGUUGGUGGGGUAACGGCUCACCAAGGCGACGAUGUCUAGGGGUUCUGAGAGGAAGACCCCCCACACUGGUACUGAGACACGGACCAGACUCCUACGGGAGGCAGCAGUGAGGAAUAUUGGUCAAUGGGCGGAAGCCUGAACCAGCCAUCCCGCGUGAAGGAAGACAGCCCUACGGGUUUUAAACUUCUUUUCUGACAGAAGAAUAUGCGAUACGUGUAUUGUAUUGACGGUAUGUCAGGAAUAAGGAUCGGCUAACUCCGUGCCAGCAGCCGCGGUAAUACGGAGGAUCCAAGCGUUAUCCGGAUUUAUUGGGUUUAAAGGGUGCGUAGGCGGAGAUGUAAGUCAGUGGUGAAAUGGUGCCGCUUAACGGUAGCACAGCCAAUGAUACUGUAUUUCUUGAGUUUAGUUGAGGUAUGCGGAAUGAGUAGUAGCGGUGAAAUGCUUAGAUAUUACUCAGAACACCGAUUGCGAAGGCAGCAUACUAAGCUAUGACUGACGCUGAUGCACGAAAGCGUGGGGAUCGAACAGGAUUAGAUACCCUAGUAGUCC
This 789-nucleotide ribosomal RNA is filed under the name uncultured bacterium. RNAcentral describes it as "bacterial SSU rRNA". It matches the Rfam family "Bacterial small subunit ribosomal RNA", at positions 8 to 796 of the family's 1533-position model. The record is from RNAcentral.